RNAcentral lists this ribosomal RNA (422 nucleotides) under uncultured bacterium. RNAcentral describes it as "partial 16S ribosomal RNA". It matches the Rfam family "Bacterial small subunit ribosomal RNA", at positions 360 to 774 of the family's 1533-position model. The record is from RNAcentral.
AAUAUUGGACAAUGGGGGCAACCCUGAUCCAGCCAUGCCGCGUGUGUGAAGAAGGUCUNCGGAUUNUNAAGCACUUUAAGUUGGGNGGAAGGGCUUUAGGCUAAUACCCUGAAGUUUUGACGUUACCAACAGAAUAAGCACCGGCUAACUCUGUGCCAGCAGCCGCGGUAAUACAAAGGGUGCAAGCGUUAAUCGGAAUUACUGGGCGUAAAGAGUACGUAGGCGGCUAUAUAAGUCAGGUGUGAAAUACCAGUGCUUAACACUGGAAUUGCAUUUGAAACUGUGUAGCUAGAGUACGGUAGAGGGUAGUGGAAUUUCCUGUGUAGCGGUGAAAUGCGUAGAUAUAGGAAGGAACACCAGUGGCGAAGGCGACUACCUGGACUGAUACUGACACUGAGGUGCGAAAGCGUGGGGAGCAAACA